AUACGGAGGGGGUUAGCGUUAAUCGGAUUCAUUGGGCGUAAAGAGCGCGUAGGCGGGCAGGUAAGUCAGAUGUGAAAGACCGGGGCUCAACUCCGGGAACGCAUUUGAAACUACUUUUCUUGAGGAUAGGUGGGGAAAGCGGAAUUCCACGUGUAGCGGUGAAAUGCGUAGAUAUGUGGAAGAACACCAGUGGCGAAGGCGGCUUUCUAACUUAUUCCUGACGCUGAGGCGCGAAAGCUGGGGGAGCAAACAGGAUUAGAUACCCUGGUAGUCCCAGCCGUAAACGAUGUGUACUAGAUGUGGUUGGACUCAACCCUGACCUUGUCGUAGCUAACGCGUUAAGUACACCGCCUGAAUAGUACGCCCGCAAGGGUGAAACUCAAAAGAAUUGACGGGGCCCGCACAAGCAGUGGAGCAUGUGGUUUAAUUCGAUGCUACGCGAAGAACCUUACCUAGACUUGACAUGUAGUGGACAGCUCCGGAAACGGAGUCUUCCUUCGGGACCGCUACACAGGUGCUGCAU
This 523-nucleotide ribosomal RNA is filed under the name uncultured Chlamydiales bacterium. RNAcentral describes it as "bacterial SSU rRNA". It matches the Rfam family "Bacterial small subunit ribosomal RNA", at positions 523 to 1046 of the family's 1533-position model. Lineage: Bacteria; Pseudomonadati; Chlamydiota; Chlamydiia; Chlamydiales. The record is from RNAcentral.